RNAcentral lists this unclassified non-coding RNA (463 nucleotides) under Salicornia sp. Freitag 33.286 Ukraine, N. RNAcentral describes it as "partial external transcribed spacer". Lineage: Eukaryota; Viridiplantae; Streptophyta; Magnoliopsida; Caryophyllales; Amaranthaceae. The record is from RNAcentral.
CGGUACGUGAUGGUGUGUGAGUGGUAUUUGGUUUGUGUGGUUGGCGGGCUCUUUGCUUGUGCAUUGGACCGUUCACCAACAUACCUUUUCAUUGUAUGCUGCAAGUGCACCAUUUUGCCUUGGGCGACGUGUGGUCCCUAUGUUGGAUUCCGAUUAACGGUAUUGUUGUUGUCCCUUUAAAGAGUGAUAUUCGCUCUACGUCCGUAAAAGGAGGUCGAGCGGACCAUGAAACUUGACUCGUUAUCCUCCUGUCAUGUGAAAACAAGCAUGAUAGGGUUGGAUUAUGAUCUCAAGUUGGGCCCUAGGAUACAGAAAGUUGUGUGGGAGUUGAUGUUAAAACGUCGCAAACCCAAAGCGUUGGUACGCUAACGAUGGAUGACAUUCGAGUGUGUUGUGAUUCUUUCAUUCUAGAAAGGUUCAUGCGCGCCGAUGUCGACCGAGGAGUGCUACCUGGUUGAUCCUG